GGGCCGACAGAGUUUGAUCCUGGCUCAGAUUGAACGCUGGCGGCAUGCUUUACACAUGCAAGUCGAACGGCAGCGCGGGGCAACCUGGCGGCGAGUGGCGAACGGGUGAGUAAUAUAUCGGAACGUACCCAGAAGUGGGGGAUAACGUAGCGAAAGUUACGCUAAUACCGCAUACGAUCUACGGAUGAAAGUGGGGGACCUUCGGGCCUCAUGCUUUUGGAGCGGCCGAUAUCUGAUUAGCUAGUUGGUGAGGUAAAGGCUCACCAAGGCGACGAUCAGUAGCUGGUCUGAGAGGACGACCAGCCACACUGGGACUGAGACACGGCCCAGACUCCUACGGGAGGCAGCAGUGGGGAAUUUUGGACAAUGGGCGCAAGCCUGAUCCAGCAAUGCCGCGUGAGUGAAGAAGGCCUUCGGGUUGUAAAGCUCUUUUGUCAGGGAAGAAACGGCUGAGGUUAAUACCUUUGGCUAAUGACGGUACCUGAAGAAUAAGCACCGGCUAACUACGUGCCAGCAGCCGCGGUAAUA
Molecule: ribosomal RNA, 528 nt
Filed under: uncultured bacterium
Lineage: Bacteria
Description: bacterial SSU rRNA
Rfam family: Bacterial small subunit ribosomal RNA
Source: RNAcentral